Molecule: long non-coding RNA, 645 nt
Organism: Nycticebus coucang (slow loris)
Lineage: Eukaryota; Metazoa; Chordata; Mammalia; Primates; Lorisidae
Exons: 3
Source: RefSeq, a predicted model, not a curated record
CCCACCACUUUGAUCAGCUUUUGGCUUUAGCCAACGACCCUCCCGUCUCAGCCUACUCCGGAGCUGAAGAGCGGACCGUCGCCCAAUGACGCGCCGAGCUCCGGCCAAGAGUCCCGCCCCCUCCCUACGUUAGCCAAUCCAGGGUAAAAGGACGUCACUGUUGCCAUGGCAAUGCUGUUACCAACUCCGCUCAUUCUCCCUGCCACCCCUGCACUUCUGGGUGCGGCACGAGACCAAGAGGCGCGCUCGACCUCCGUGGCGGUGGCCGAGUCUUCUACUGCAGCAGCCGCUGCAGAUGAUGGCCUGAUAUGAAGAAGCUGCUGAAGCAAGAGGGAGCACAUGGAACUUGGAGCCAGAAGAUCCUAAAUCGCAGCCUUACCAUUUAUUUGUGAUUUUACUUCAAAUACCCUGAUCCUCUCUGAACCGCAGUUUCCUAUACAUGUAACCUAUAAAAAUAAUCCCAACCUCAAAGAGUUGUUGUGGGGAUUAAAUGAGCUAAUGCAUGGGAAGAACAUAUAGCAAGUGUUCAGUAAGUAGUAGGGGUUUUUCCCUUCUUUCCCUAUGUUUGGGGGUGGAGCAGCAGACAAGGAGAGGGAUGCCUGUCUUGCUGCAAGGAGCCUUCGAGCCUUAUAAAAUGUUAGUGAA